GAUGGAUUUCCUCCGUCUCAUUUAGUUAUCAAUGUUAUUUAAAAUAUCUAUCACAAAAUAUUUGUCAAUUCAUAAAAUCAAAUAGAAUUAUCAAAUGCAGAUGAUCAUUAAAUAUAUUGCUUAAUUUAACAAUAAUAGUAAGAAAGAUACUGUCAAAUUCUACUUUUUAUUUUUAUUUAGGUGAAAUGGUCUCGUAGACAUUUGUAUUUUUCUGAAUUUGUAAAGUGAACGUCUCUACUUAGAUUUUUGUCAUCUAAACCCCCAACUCAAUAAAAUUCGAUAUUUUAAAUCCUAUUUUGAUGUGUGUAACACAAUUGCUGUCACAUCAGCUUUCACAUAGAUUCCACGUCAUAUUCCAAUUAGAGAUAGAAAAUAAUCUCUUUUCUUAUAUAAAAAAAAAAAAAAAAAACUUAACUCCCCCUCCCCCACGCCCCACCCCUUCAUCUUUAGUCUUCAAUAACAUCUUCCCUUCUCUCCUCUCUCCUCUCACCUCCAUUUUUUAAUAACACCUUCACUAGCCACCCCUCUAUGGCAUUUGAAAAUUCACAUCACAAAUGAAUUAAAAAAAUUAAAAACUUUACUUGAAAAAAUUAUAGUGUUUAAAAUUUCUUGUUUAGUUUGAAAAGAUUUUUAGUUAGAAUUAUUCAUUGAGAAAAUUCUCAUAAAGUGUUUCAAAUCCACACAAAUCAAACUAACAAACGACUUAGUUGGAAACACUACCAUUACAGGGAGUAUUUGAGCAGUUGUGGUGUUUUGGUUGUUGUUAUGAUGUGGAAAAGUGUGUUAAACUUGUUUAUUUAUGGAAUUAGAGGAUUGAGAAUGGAGGAAAUGGGGUGGGGUGGGGUGUUAGGAAUUGGCCUCCACCACCACCGUUUUAGUCUAGUCCUUGUAAAUAUUUCAAUAUUGGACUUUUGUAUACUCAGUCCAAUCCAUUCAUUAUUUAAGUUGGUUUGGUUCUAUUUUGUAUAUAGAAGGAUAUGAUUUGGAACUGGACGGUUUUUGCCAUUUUGACUCUCAUACACAAAUGAGAACACAUUUCUCUUUCAUUCUUCUCUCUCCUAACAAGGGUUUUCAUUUCUUUUAUUGGUUUGCUUUCGUGUUUGCUGUGAGUUUUCAUGGUAUCAGAGCCAGGGAUUCGGCUAGAUCUGCUCUUUCUCUUUCAAUCGAUGGUUCCCGUGAAGCUUUUUGUUGAGUUUUGAAGUUGGAAGUUUGACCCGAUUCAGCAUUUUCAUACGCAAAUUUCUAUUUGUUUGUGCCGUAACUUCCAUUGUUGAGUAUUGUUGAGCAAGGCUUUUGCUUCUUCAAGUUGUGAAGAAGAGUGGUAAUGGUUCAGAGGCCCAGUCUAGGGGUCAAGAGAAUCAGUAAAUCUUUCGGACAGAGUUGCAGAGACAAGUGGAUUAUCAGACAGAUAGGGGUGUUUCGGGCCUCCUUGGUUUGAAAUGCUCGUCACGGCCAAGCCCUGGUUCAAGUCAUGAUAUCACCUAUCCUUCAUUACAUAUAAUUGUAAAGUCGCAUGGACUAAAUUGCAGGAUGAACAACGAGUUCAUCAGUUUUUAGCUAAAUUGAAUUACUCUUACAAUGGGAUUAGGCAAAAUAUUUUAAUGAUUAAGCCUCUUCCAGAUAUAGAUAGCGUGUAUUCCAUGCUAAUCCAUGAUGAACAACAGUCUGAGUUGCAAACUUCUCUUCCAUCAUUUACGUCUGACUCUGUCUCCUUUUCUGCAGCUGGUAAUCGCAAGUUUUAUCCCCAAAAGAUCAAUUUUGAUAGUCGUAAAUCUAAUCAGUCCUUUGAUAGUAGAAAAUCAAAUUUCUCAUACAACCAGAGUCAAGGUUUGUUCUAUAAGUACUGUAAGAAACCAGGACAUACCAUUGGUAGAUGUAGAAAGUUACUUGGUUAUCCCUCAGAAUAUCAACAGUUUCCCAGAGAUCAAAAAUCUGUUGCUUGUGUUCAACCUGCUGAUGUUAUUCCCCAAGGGGUUCUUCGCUCU
This is a long non-coding RNA of Capsicum annuum, 1985 nucleotides long. RefSeq lists it as uncharacterized. The transcript is spliced from 3 exons. Lineage: Eukaryota; Viridiplantae; Streptophyta; Magnoliopsida; Solanales; Solanaceae. The record is from RefSeq and is a predicted model, not a curated record.